Molecule: long non-coding RNA, 466 nt
Organism: Rhododendron vialii
Lineage: Eukaryota; Viridiplantae; Streptophyta; Magnoliopsida; Ericales; Ericaceae
Exons: 3
Source: RefSeq, a predicted model, not a curated record
UAGAUCUAAACUACAUUCAUCUACACAAAAGGCCCGAAACCGAUUGGAAGCCCACCGAUAAUUGUUCAACCGCCCACAGUCAAACAAAACCUCAUCCCACAGCCAAACAAAUAACCACUCGGAGGAGAGCGACGCCGCAUCAAACAAUAUCUGCGGUGCAACCAAGGUUCUGAAUACCGUUUUGGACAUGGUACCGAAUUUGUCACUAAAACGAUAGGAGGCCACCUGGAGUCGCGGGGCGUGGAAGAGGAAGAGGCCGCGAGGAUGGCACCAGUGGGCGUCCCUUGAAAAGGCAUUGGUCGCGGCCUAGAUGACAGAGGUGCAGAUGGAGGUCGAGGUAGGGCUGGACCUGGUGGGAGGACUGGUGGAAACAGAGGUAGUGGGCGUGGGAGAUGAUGAUAUAAAGCUGAGGUGCCGAACAACUCAAGGGGGGCUUUGCUAGUUUUGAAUGGCAUUUUAUAUCCCC